Molecule: non-coding RNA, 72 nt
Organism: Dipodomys ordii (Ord's kangaroo rat)
Lineage: Eukaryota; Metazoa; Chordata; Mammalia; Rodentia; Heteromyidae
Source: Rfam
GGGAAGGUAGCUCAGUGGUAGAGUGCUUGCCUUGCAUGCAUGAGGCCCUAGGUUCGAUUCCUCAGCAUCACA